GAUGAAGAACGUAGCGAAAUGCGAUAAGUAAUGUGAAUUGCAGAAUUCAGUGAAUCAUCGAAUCUUUGAACGCACAUUGCGCCCGCCAGUAUUCUGGCGGGCAUGCCUGUUCGAGCGUCAUUUCAACCAUCAAGCCCCCGGCUUGUGUUGGGGACCUGCGGCUGCCGCAGGCCCUGAAAACCAGUGGCGGGCUCGCUAGUCACUCCGAGCGUAGUAAUACAUCUCGCUCAGGGCGUGCUGCGGGUUCCGGCCGUUAAAAAAGCCUUAUUUACCCAAGGUUGACCUCGGAUCAGGUAGGAAGACCCGCUGAACUUAAGCAUAUCAAUAAGCGGAGA
RNAcentral lists this unclassified non-coding RNA (335 nucleotides) under soil metagenome. RNAcentral's name for it is "partial contains 5.8S ribosomal RNA, internal transcribed spacer 2, and large subunit ribosomal RNA". The stretch from base 1 to 120 matches the Rfam family "5.8S ribosomal RNA", at positions 35 to 154 of the family's 154-position model. The record is from RNAcentral.